AUUGAACGCUGGCGGCAGGCCUAACACAUGCAAGUCGAGCGGUAGCACAGAGAGCUUGCUCUCGGGUGACGAGCGGCGGACGGGUGAGUAAUGUCUGGGAAACUGCCUGAUGGAGGGGGAUAACUACUGGAAACGGUAGCUAAUACCGCAUAAUGUCGCAAGACCAAAGUGGGGGACCUUCGGGCCUCAUGCCAUCAGAUGUGCCCAGAUGGGAUUAGCGAGUAGGUGGGGUAACGGCCCACCUAGGCGACGAUCCCUAGGUGGCCUGAGAGGAUGACCAGCCACACUGGAACUGAGACACGGUCCAGACUCCUACGGGAGGCAGCAGUGGGGAAUAUUGCACAAUGGGCGCAAGCCUGAUGCAGCCAUGCCGCGUGUGUAAAGAAGGCCUUCGGGUUGUAAAGCACUUUCAGCGGGGAGGAAGGCGAUAAGGUUAAUAACCUUGUCGAUUGACGUUACCCGCAGAAGAAGCACCGGCUAACUCCGUGCCAGCCGCCGCGGUAA
Molecule: ribosomal RNA, 504 nt
Filed under: uncultured bacterium
Lineage: Bacteria
Description: partial 16S ribosomal RNA
Rfam family: Bacterial small subunit ribosomal RNA
Source: RNAcentral